This 1775-nucleotide unclassified non-coding RNA is filed under the name Cimex lectularius (bed bug). RNAcentral's name for it is "uncharacterized LOC106663237, transcript variant X1". The record is from RNAcentral. Lineage: Eukaryota; Metazoa; Arthropoda; Insecta; Hemiptera; Cimicidae.
AUUUUGCAAGAAAUACGUUUUUAUCGAUCUUUACAUUUUGAGAUAAUCGAUUGGUGGAAAGCAGAGAGGUUACAUCGAGCAACAUUUCAACGUAAACAAAACAAGAGAUGCGAUGGGCAGUUGGGUUGGUUUGGUACACUUUCUUCUUUGUAGAGGUCUCUUCGGCAGGCGAGCAGUCCUGGCUGCCGGGCAUGUUCGGAGAGGGAGGCUCCGAUGCAAAACAGGAAAGGUCAUGCGAUGAGAGUGCUUGCACCAUUUACAUGAUGCGAUUCCUGAACCAUCUGCUGAGAAGAACAAACUUGCAGGGUAUUCACCUGGCACCAGGUAUGGAUGUUAAAGUUCCAAUGAAGCUCUACUUCAACUCGACGUCACUGCAAAUCAUCCAGGCUUACGCUACGAAACGACGCCAUGAAUACACCUGGGCGGACCUCGACAAGGCAAUGUUCCUUUUAUUUGAGGAAAAGCUCGCCCAACAUGCUGAAGAGAUUGAAGAGACACCACGUUUUUUCCAGCCCGACAUUCGUCCCGAGUUCAUAAUCGUUGUAGUGAUCGGUUCAAUCGUGCUGAUAGCGUUCUGGCUCGUCCUGACCGGCGUCUCCCUGACCAAGACAUUUCUCCUCGUCUUCACGAUCGCUUUCAGCAUAGGUCUUGGUUUCACUUGGUGGAUUGAGAUUGAGGAAAAGCGAAUCGAGGCACUCGUCACGCUCGCAGAGAUGAACAGCAUACCUGAAGAAUGCAUUUCAACCAGUUCCACAUACAUGAACCAAAUAAAAACUUGGCUUUUCGGUUCUAGUAAAAAAUGCAAGCAAUAUCACUGGGCGCAAGUCGAUCCGAUGAAGAAGGUCGUAUUCAGCAACGUCCUGGCCAAAACAUUCACAUCGAUGUGUAUGACACCUCUGCCGAUCAUUGGCGAUGCCCUCGGCCACAUGACGGCCAACUACACGAGCCGCUUGUCCUGGCUUUCAGAAGUUAUUGCAUGGAUCAUUGUGCCAAUUGUAUCGCCUAUCUUUGCACUCAUGUGCAUCAUUUUCCUCAUGACUAUCAUCCUUGGGCGUGGCUUUAGAGUCUCGCUACCUUUCUUCUCGUACAGUUCACAGCCCGUCGUCGAGCCAAUCAGAGAGCCUGUAAAAGUGACAGCACGCCAGAAGAAAUUCCUGAAAACUGCGCGUCACAGCAUAAAAGACUCGAACUUCUCGAGGAAUUAUUUCUUGGUGCAGAAGAGCAGAAGUGAGGGAAACUUUCUGGAAGACAAAACCCGCUCAUAUUACGAACGCCACCCAGUAAAGAAGGCCAUCCGCCAACGCAGUGACCUCACUUUGUCGCACUUUGACCAACCGAGGCGGCUCAGGCAAAAGAUGAAGAAGAACAUGUUCAAAGACAGCGAGAGCGAAGAGAGCAGCUACCAGGAUAAGAUAGAAUACAAACAGCCUUCGUCGAAGUUCGUUCCGACUCGAAUCGACUCUGACUGCAUGGAAGAAAGCGAGUACUCAAUGAUCAACUAUGACGAACGGUCAAGCACGAGUGGCCAGAGCGACAUCGCAGUCAUUCCAGAAACGGAGACUGAAUUGGACGAAACGAGGGUUUUGAAAGCAAUAAACUGACAUUCUUUGUUGAAAAAGUAUAGAUAUCAUUCGGUAAAUGGUACAAUUUCUUUACCACCCCCCGUCACAACUCUUUCAAUUAUCUAAACCGAACGCCGAUUUCAAUCACACCAGGAAGGAUGAAGACUGUGCGGUAUAAAAGGGUGUCAAGGGACGGUGUUGUUAGGUCGAUUG